CAAGACGGAAAGACCCCGUGAACCUUUACUAUAGCUUGACACUGAACAUUGAGCCUUGAUGUGUAGGAUAGGUGGGAGGCUUUGAAGCGUGGACGCCAGUCUGCGUGGAGCCGGCCUUGAAAUACCACCCUUUAAUGUUUGAUGUUCUAACGUGGACCCGUAAUCCGGGUUGCGGACAGUGUCUGGUGGGUAGUUUGACUGGGGCGGUCUCCUCCUAAAGAGUAACGGAGGAGCACGAAGGUUGGCUAAUCCUGGUCGGACAUCAGGAGGUUAGUGCAAUGGCAUAAGCCAGCUUGACUGCGAGCGUGACGGCGCGAGCAGGUGCGAAAGCAGGUCAUAGUGAUCCGGUGGUUCUGAAUGGAAGGGCCAUCGCUCAACGGAUAAAAGGUACUCCGGGGAUAACAGGCUGAUACCGCCCAAGAGUUCAUAUCGACGGCGGUGUUUGGCACCUCGAUGUCGGCUCAUCACAUCCUGGGGCUGAAGUAGGUCCCAAGGGUAUGGCUGUUCGCCAUUUAAAGUGGUACGCGAGCUGGGUUUAGAACGUCGUGAGACAGUUCGGUCCCUAUCUGCCGUGGGCGCUGGAGAACUGAGGGGGGCUGCUCCUAGUACGAGAGGACCGGAGUGGACGCAUCACUGGUGUUCGGGUUGUCAUGCCAAUGGCACUGCCCGGUAGCUAAAUGCGGAAGAGAUAAGUGCUGAAAGCAUCUAAGCACGAAACUUGCCCCG
RNAcentral lists this ribosomal RNA (726 nucleotides) under Salmonella enterica subsp. salamae. Its description in RNAcentral is "partial 23S ribosomal RNA". It matches the Rfam family "Bacterial large subunit ribosomal RNA", at positions 2076 to 2801 of the family's 2925-position model. Lineage: Bacteria; Pseudomonadati; Pseudomonadota; Gammaproteobacteria; Enterobacterales; Enterobacteriaceae. The record is from RNAcentral.